This 326-nucleotide long non-coding RNA is filed under the name Erythranthe guttata (spotted monkey flower). Its description in RNAcentral is "long non-coding RNA (EGUT_LNC003556)". The record is from RNAcentral. Lineage: Eukaryota; Viridiplantae; Streptophyta; Magnoliopsida; Lamiales; Phrymaceae.
AUCAUUCUGCAUACUACCAAAAAGAAAAUAAUCUUGUAAAAAAGUAUUUAUAGUAAGCUUUGUAACAAUCUUGUAAAGAAAAUAUGUCACAUGUCCUUCUGCCUGUCAAACUUUAAGCUCCGGUUUGAAACCGGCGAAGAAGAAUUGGGGGGUGAGAACAGAAAUCGAACUUUUCAGAUCGUCUCCCUGUUCUUCAGUAUACGAUGUCUCUCUGUUUCAUUGGACAAUAUAAAUUAAAUAUUAGAACCAUCCACAGAUUAAUUGUAAAUUAGUCCAUAAUUUAAAUCAAAAUACCCAAGAACUCAACAAAAAAAAAAAAAAAAAAA